UACGUAGGGUGCGAGCGUUGUCCGGAAUUAUUGGGCGUAAAGAGCUCGUAGGCGGUUUGUCGCGUCGACUGUGAAAACCUACAGCUUAACUGUGGGCUUGCAGUCGAUACGGGCAGGCUAGAGUUCGGCAGGGGAGACUGGAAUUCCUGGUGUAGCGGUGAAAUGCGCAGAUAUCAGGAGGAACUCCGGUGGCGAAGGCGGGUCUCUGGGCAGUAACUGGCGCUGAGGAGCGAAAGCGUGGGGAGCGAACAGG
RNAcentral lists this ribosomal RNA (253 nucleotides) under uncultured bacterium. RNAcentral's name for it is "partial 16S ribosomal RNA". It matches the Rfam family "Bacterial small subunit ribosomal RNA", at positions 524 to 776 of the family's 1533-position model. The record is from RNAcentral.